Long non-coding RNA from Fukomys damarensis (Damara mole-rat), 764 nucleotides. RefSeq lists it as uncharacterized. The transcript has 7 exons. NCBI's taxonomy places the organism in Eukaryota, Metazoa, Chordata, Mammalia, Rodentia, Bathyergidae. The record is from RefSeq and is a predicted model, not a curated record.
GAAGUGGUGACUCUCCUGGUGGAGAAAAAAUGUGACAUCGAUGCCCAUGACAGGGAAAACAGUACCGCCCUGAUUAAGGCUGUACAAUACCACCAGGAAGAUUGUGCAACUAUUCUCUUGGAACAUGGUGCCAAUCUGAAUGUUGCAGAUGCCAGCGGCAACACUGCUCUCCACUAUGCAUUCUAUUGGGAAACUCAUCAAUAGUGGCAAAACUGCUUUCACACCAUGCAGAUACUGAGGCCAAAAAUAAGGAAUUGGGACUACUGAGAUAAAAGAUAUAUCCCCUGCCCUCAAGAUGCUUUUGAUUCAGGUGGGAGCCAUCACAUAACUCAAAGUACCAUAAUGAAUCUGUGACAGAAGGAAAGAUCCUUGGAAUCAGUGAAAGUCUGAGGAUGACCUCACACCACAUUCAAUUGCUGUAAGGGAAAACAAGCAGCAAGUGGAAGAACUGCUUAUAAAGGAGAAAGAAAAUAUUCAUGCUCUGGACGAGCCAGGAAGGUUUUCUAACAAACGUGAUCCUUUUGACUCAUCAGAGGGGGAUGAUGAUAAUUUUGAUGACAUGAAUCUCCCCAAAGUAAACCUAGCUGAGCUAUGGGCUGCUGCUCACCAAAGCGGGGAAAAGCAAGCAAAAUAUGGCACUGGGGAAUCGGGAAACACAACCCAUCUUGACGACCGUAUUUCUGAUGGUGAAAGCAAAGAUAACGUGGAAACUCAUCCUAAAACAUCAGAUGAUGUUGAGAGCUUCUCUCAGUCUUCCGUCUCAA